UUCAUCCUUUUUGGAGAGUUUGAUCCUGGCUCAGGACGAACGCUGGCGGCGUGCCUAAUACAUGCAAGUCGAGCGGUCCC
Molecule: ribosomal RNA, 80 nt
Filed under: Paenibacillus sedimenti
Lineage: Bacteria; Bacillati; Bacillota; Bacilli; Caryophanales; Paenibacillaceae
Description: partial 16S ribosomal RNA
Rfam family: Bacterial small subunit ribosomal RNA
Source: RNAcentral